CCUACGGGGGGCAGCAGUAAGGAAUCUUCGACAAUGGGCGAAAGCCUGAUGGAGCAACGCAGCGUGGGUGAAGAAGGCCUUCGGAUCUUAAAACCCUGUUGUUAGAGAAGUAAGUGCGUGAGAGUAACUGUUCACGUUUCGACGGUAUCUAUCCAGAACGCCACGGCUAACUACGUGCCAGCAGCCGCGGUGAUACGUAGGUGGCAAGCGUUAUCCGGAUUUAUUGGGCGUAAAGGGAGCGCAGGCGGUCUUUUAAGUGUGAUGUGAAAGCUUUCGGCUUAACCUUAGUAGUGCAUUGGAAACUGGGAGACUUGAGUGCAGAAGAGGAGAGUGGAACUCGAGGUGUAGCGGUGAAAUGCGUAGAUAUAUGGAAGAACACCAGUGGCGAAAGCGGCUCUCUGGUCUGUAACUGACGCUGAGGUUCGAAAGCGUGGGUAGCAAACAGGAUUAGAUACCCUGGUAGUC
This 465-nucleotide ribosomal RNA is filed under the name uncultured bacterium. Its description in RNAcentral is "partial 16S ribosomal RNA". It matches the Rfam family "Bacterial small subunit ribosomal RNA", at positions 338 to 795 of the family's 1533-position model. The record is from RNAcentral.